GCCCAGCUGAUGAGUCCUAAAUAGGAUGAAACGCAUGUCCUGGAU
This 45-nucleotide non-coding RNA is filed under the name Schistosoma curassoni. Lineage: Eukaryota; Metazoa; Platyhelminthes; Trematoda; Strigeidida; Schistosomatidae. The record is from RNAcentral.